Molecule: transfer RNA, 73 nt
Filed under: Camelus bactrianus (Bactrian camel)
Lineage: Eukaryota; Metazoa; Chordata; Mammalia; Artiodactyla; Camelidae
Also listed under: 1 other name
Rfam family: tRNA
About the family: Transfer RNA (tRNA) molecules are approximately 80 nucleotides in length. Their secondary structure includes four short double-helical elements and three loops (D, anti-codon, and T loops).
Source: Rfam by way of RNAcentral
GAGGGUAUAGCUUAAGCAGUAGAGCGUAUGCAUAGCAUGCAUGAGGUCCCAGGUUCAAUCCCCAGUACCUCCU